This 289-nucleotide long non-coding RNA is filed under the name Nicotiana benthamiana. Its description in RNAcentral is "long non-coding RNA (NBEN_LNC005970)". Lineage: Eukaryota; Viridiplantae; Streptophyta; Magnoliopsida; Solanales; Solanaceae. The record is from RNAcentral.
GAUCACGCGCCUUCCUUUCCCUUGCUUUAGCUAACCGGAAUAACUUUCUGUCCCCGCCUCUCUCCCCUAGUUCCUCGUACAUGCGACCAAACGCCGCGCUUUUAGCUUCCGUAACCGCCAGUUUUGCUUCUUUCCUCGCCACCUUAUAGAUCUCCUUGUUCGCUCUGCGUUCUUCCUCGCUUGUGCUCCUUGCCAACUUAGCAAACGCCGCCUUCUUCAUCUCCACUUUUCCUUCGACUAUAUUGUUCCACCACCAGUCACCCUUAUGUCUGCCUGAAUAGCCCUUGGC